AGAGUUUGAUCCUGGCUCAGAUUGAACGCUGGCGGCAUGCCUUACACAUGCAAGUCGAACGGCAGCGCGGGAGCAAUCCUGGCGGCGAGUGGCGAACGGGUGAGUAAGACGUCGGAACGUGUCCUGGAGUGGGGGAUAGCCCGGCGAAAGCCGGAUUAAUACCGCAUACGCUCUAUGGAGGAAAGCGGGGGAUCGCAAGACCUCGCGCUCAAGGGGCGGCCGAUGGCGGAUUAGCUAGUUGGUGGGGUAAAGGCCUACCAAGGCGACGAUCCGUAGCUGGUCUGAGAGGACGACCAGCCACACUGGGACUGAGACACGGCCCAGACUCCUACGGGAGGCAGCAGUGGGGAAUUUUGGACAAUGGGGGCAACCCUGAUCCAGCAAUGCCGCGUGUGUGAAGAAGGCCUUCGGGCUGUAAAGCACUUUUGUCCGGAAAGAAAACGCUCUGGUUAAUACCUGGGGCGGAUGACGGUACCGGAAGAAUAAGCACCGGCUAACUACGUGCCAGCAGCCGCGGUAAUACGUAGGGUGCGAGCGUUAAUCGGAAUUACUGGGCGUAAAGCGUGCGCAGGCGGUUCGCUAAGACCGAUGUGAAAUCCCCGGGCUUAACCUGGGAACUGCAUUGGUGACUGGCGGGCUCGAGUAUGGCAGAGGGGGGUAGAAUUCCACGUAGCAGUGAAAUGCGUAGAGAUGUGGAGGAAUACCGAUGGCGAAGGCAGCCCCCUGGGCCGAUACUGACGCUCAUGCACGAAAGCGUGGGGAGCAAACAGGAUUAGAUACCCCCGUAGUCC
Molecule: ribosomal RNA, 791 nt
Filed under: uncultured bacterium
Lineage: Bacteria
Description: bacterial SSU rRNA
Rfam family: Bacterial small subunit ribosomal RNA
Source: RNAcentral